Molecule: long non-coding RNA, 1157 nt
Organism: Zonotrichia leucophrys gambelii
Lineage: Eukaryota; Metazoa; Chordata; Aves; Passeriformes; Passerellidae
Exons: 3
Source: RefSeq, a predicted model, not a curated record
GCCGUGUCCCUUUCCAGGGAGAAACGAGCAAGGCCAGCCCUGAGGGCUCCCUUGGUCCCAGGCCGAAGCUCUCCUGCAGUGUCGGGGCUGGUCCCGCCUGCCGAGGGCGUUUCCUGCAGUGAGAAGAACAUGAACUCACCACCAUUAAGGCCUGGCAGUUCCCUGCAGUGAGAGCUCAGUGCACAUCCACAGAGGCAAUUCCAGCAUCUGAAAGGAAGAAAAGAAGAAAAAGGACUUUUCCAAUCCAACCCUGAAGCUGAGAAGCCCAAAAGCUCUGGAGUCUGCUCUGGAACAAAAGGAUCCUCCCAGGGCUGAGGCCCAUUCCCAGCAAACCCUCCCAACAGGCCCAGAGGCGCCGCUGGAGCUCCUGCUGGGCUGGGAAGGGCUGCCAGGAGGACACAGCCCCAGGGGUGGCAGUGGCAGUGGCAGCAGCAAAUGGCCACGCUGGGAUGGCACAGCAGAGCCCAAGGCCAGCAAUGGCCACGGCAGCUGCAGGGUUAAUUCUGCUCCCUGCGCUGCCCCAGCCCGGCAGGAAAUGCCCGGGGGGACAGAAACUCUCGGGGUGCACAAAGUGCAGCAUCUGUGCCCCCGAUCCUGCCUGAGCCCAGCGUGGGGGGCCAACCCCCCCAGGGCCAGCCCUGCCCUGCCCUGGCUCAGCCCCAGACACUGCCCCAGCUCCCGGCUGCUCCCGGGGCUGCCACCACUCCUGGCAAGGGGACAAAGGUGACAGAGCCCCUCUGGACAGGGCUCUCUCUGGGUCUCAGGCGUCGGGGACUGCAGGGACAGCCUGAAACCAGGGCAGAUCCCUCUGAGUUUGUGACACUCUGGGGACAGCUGGGGACUCACCCCACACCACGGCAGGGCCAGGGACCCUCCAGUGCAGCUGGAGCCCGUUGGGUUUGGCUGCUCAAACUCCAAAGCUCUGGGCAAAGAUGGGAUGAAUUAAGUGGCUUUUCCUGUCCUGAAAGAGAGGAGAAAAUGGAAAUUAGGUCCACUCUGGAAAUCAAAGGCUCCUGGCUUUCCUAAUUCUGUUCUGAUUGCUCACUCCAUAAAACAUGAAAGGUGACACCAAAUAAAAGUGCCCCUUGUCAACAUUUUAUUCCCUACUAUUUUAAUACAUUAAAAAGAUGACCAUUUUAAAUUAUUGCAUUCUUUAC